This is a long non-coding RNA of Ostrinia furnacalis (Asian corn borer), 263 nucleotides long. RefSeq lists it as uncharacterized. The record is from RefSeq and is a predicted model, not a curated record. NCBI's taxonomy places the organism in Eukaryota, Metazoa, Arthropoda, Insecta, Lepidoptera, Crambidae. The transcript has 3 exons.
AGGGAUGACACGAAUGUUUUUAUUAAAGGCAAAAUGGAUUUCAACUCGAGUAAAGAUAACAGAUAAAAGAUCUAAAUAAGUCAAAUGCGGAUCCAACUUAAUAUGGUGGAAUGGUGGUGCUAUGCAAGUCUGAUUUAUUUUUAAUCACUGUAUUUACCUACCUAUAGUAAAAAAACCACUUAAGAGAUGUACAAAGGCUGGUGAUGAAGUGGUUUUGCUUGGUGAUUUAGGAUAUGCUCCAUGCGCCUGCCUAAUGACACCAG